CUGAAGGUAGAAACUGGCAACCCUCUAUAACACUCACAAUGAUGCAACUAUGGGUUCUUCUGGAUUGGAGGCACUGCAGUACCUGGAGUACAUCUCUUGAAGAGAUAGCUGUGCUGAAAUAGAAAACCAAACUAUAAAUGGAGGCAUUCCAAGAAGUAAAAAUUGUGCUAAAUACAAAGUUGGAAUAUAGAAUUACCACAACAUGGGAGAGUUUAUCAGCACUGCACAGGCCUGUGACUCUCAAGUUUAAACCUGGGGUUCAAGACUUAUUGAUGGAAGUGAAUACUCCUUUCUGUGAUGUUCCCCAGCACUGCCAGGGGAAGCAGGACAGCCUUUUGAUGAACUCUUGGAGUAGGAAGGUAGGAAACAUACCUCUGUUGAAUAACUUGACCAAGAUCUCACAGCUGGCGUUAUUAACCUUAUUUCAGGCUGAAGAAAAUUUGGCAGAACGUACUGAAAUAAAUCAGCAGCACUGCAAAGAAAAAGACUGAAGCUGGCAUGCUGAAAUUUGGGCUUGUGGCCUUGUAUUUGGAGGCCCAGCAGGUGUAUUUUGAGUCCUUCCAUGUAAAAAAAUGUGAUCCUAGAAUAGCACUGCAUAUAUUCCACUCAGAUUAAUGAUCUCUAGGUAAUCAAAAACAUGGCCCUAUGCAGUUAAAUUCAACUCAGAUUAAUGAUCUCUAGGUAAUCAAAAACAUGGCCCUAUGCAGUUAAAUGUCAUCUGGACCUAAGUUAGGAGCACUAGAUUUCUUUUAAUGACAGGAGACUUUAAAUCAAGAAGUGCUUGGUCAAAAGCUCUAUUGAAGAUUGUUUUCUGUGGAUGUGUAUCUUAUGGCUGAUGGCUCCAUUAAGUGAGUGGUGCAAACACAUCUUCUAGUCUCAAGCUUCUUUUUACUUUUGCCUCUGGUGAAUGCUCAAGAAUACAGAGGUUAUUAUAACAAGACAGUAGUAGCUUGAAUAA
RNAcentral lists this long non-coding RNA (958 nucleotides) under Equus caballus (horse). RNAcentral describes it as "lncRNA (ENSECAG00000054305.1)". The record is from RNAcentral. Lineage: Eukaryota; Metazoa; Chordata; Mammalia; Perissodactyla; Equidae.